RNAcentral lists this non-coding RNA (402 nucleotides) under Neotoma lepida (desert woodrat). RNAcentral's name for it is "Eukaryotic large subunit ribosomal RNA". It matches the Rfam family "Eukaryotic large subunit ribosomal RNA", at positions 2468 to 2808 of the family's 3401-position model. Lineage: Eukaryota; Metazoa; Chordata; Mammalia; Rodentia; Cricetidae. The record is from Rfam by way of RNAcentral.
ACUCUGCAUCUGGGGGGAGGAGACAAGCAGGGACAAAGAGGAUCUAUUGGGAGGAAAUCUCUCUGAAGAGGCUCUUGUUUCAAGUACUCUCAUUGUUUUUUUCACUGACCCAGUGAGGCGGGCAAGCAAAGCCCCUAGGGGUUUUCGCUUCUGGCACGAAGCGCUGGUCUCUGCAUGCAUAUGGGCGGGCGUGACCUGCUCUGGAGACAGUGCCAGGUGGGGAGUUUGAUUAGAGGGGUACACCUGUCAAAUGGUAACGCAGGUGUCCUAAGACGAGCUCAAGGAAGACAGAACCCUCCCGUGGCAAAAGACCAAAAGCUUGAUCUUGAUUUCAGCACAAAUACAGACCGAGAAAAAAAAAAGAGUCCUUUUAGACCAGGAUGAGUCCAGACAAAGCUUUCA